Molecule: ribosomal RNA, 270 nt
Filed under: uncultured archaeon
Lineage: Archaea
Description: partial 16S ribosomal RNA
Rfam family: Archaeal small subunit ribosomal RNA
Source: RNAcentral
CAGCACCUCAAGUGGUCAGGAUGAUUAUUGGGCCUAAAGCAUCCGUAGCCGGCGCUGUAAGUUUUCGGUUAAAUCUGUACGCUCAGCGUACAGGCUGCCGGGAAUACUGCAGCGCUAGGGAGUGGGAGAGGUAGACGGUACUCGGUAGGAAGGGGUAAAAUCCUUUGAUCUAUUGAUGACCACCUGUGGCGAAGGCGGUCUACCAGAACACGUCCGACGGUGAGGGAUGAAAGCUGGGGGAGCAAACCGGAUUAGAGACCCGAGUAGUCC